RNA transcript from Bombyx mori (domestic silkworm), 4926 nucleotides. RefSeq lists it as uncharacterized. The transcript is spliced from 2 exons. Lineage: Eukaryota; Metazoa; Arthropoda; Insecta; Lepidoptera; Bombycidae. The record is from RefSeq and is a predicted model, not a curated record.
AAUCAAAAUUAAAUUAAUUUUUUUUUGUUUCUAAUGGCUAUUAUUAGAAGGGCGCUUACAUUUGAACGAAAUCCUUGUAAAUGACACCAGCAAAUUGAUUUAUAGCUACCAAUUCCCCUAAUCCUUUUUAGAAUUAGGGAAUUGUUUCAUAAAAUUUCGGAAGGUACUAUAACGUCUUAUUAUUUUUUAUAUGGGUCAUACACAUACAUAAGUUCAGGGUGUAUGUUGUUUAAAAAGAAUGGAUUUUAUUCAAAUUAAAUUAUAUCGGGACAUGAAUUACAGUUACCAUUUUAAAUACAAAUGAUAAUCAAGCAAAAAAUUAUUAAAUUACCUGUGUAACUUAUUUUUUAGUUUCCUAUUAUCCCUUUCUGUGGACUGUUCGCAAAGGCAGUUGCUACAUUUCGAUAUCAUUUAUUGUUGUUUGGUGAGAGUUAUCGUAUAAUAAAAUGCAAAUAUAUCUUUAGUAUAUAUGUCAAAUAUUUAAAAAUAUGCAUAUAAUUAUUAUAAAUAGAUUAAUUUAUAAUAAAAUUUUAAAUAAACAUUUAGUUACACGCAACCGCAUCACUUCUGUGGACUUAAAAUUUCGCCAAAAAAAUCAAUAUCUACUAAAAGUACUACUCACCACAUUUUUUUUAUACUGGCCACAUUAUAAAGCUAGCAUUGGCCAUUUUGGAUACAGCUACUGAGCGUUGGCGAUCGUUCGGAAUAUUUUUUAUAAAUUCAGUGGUGAUUUCGUAAAAGAUCGGUAGAACUUUUCUGUUCCUGAUAUAUUUCGGUAAGUAAUUAUUGAUUUCAACAAUUAUCACGUAGCCGUAUGGCCGUUCAUGGAGUAAUUUCGGAAAUGUUUUUGUCUUAUUUUCUAACCUUAAAAACUAAAAGAGCAUUGUGAUUUUUUUAUUGAAUGUCCUUUCUGUGGACCCCUUUUAUGUGGACUUGAAUGUCCACGCGAAAGACAAUGUCUGCAGAAAAUAUCACAUUAUUGAUUUCAAAACUAAAACACUGUCUUACUUAUCUCUUAACUAGAUGACGUUGACUCCUUUGGUCGUGCAUGCUAUUAAAUCUACAUAACAUGAAUUUUAAAAGAGGUUGUCUUGUAUUUUGGCCAAUGCCUACACGAAAGAAAGUGUCCACAGAAAAUCGUUCUUAAGUUUUCCAACUGAUUCAGCAGCUUGUUUGUAAACGUGAACAAUGUGCAUUGUGUAUCAUCGGUAGCUGAUUUAUAUCCCCUGCUAGACCUCUGCUCCAAGACACGCUUCUUGCGUAUAAACUAAAAGGGUUUGGCUUAUUUGUAUCUAUUGCAUGGUAUGGUAGGUAGAAGUAAAUAUAGUUUAAUUUGUUCCAGCUACAUGAUGCCACGUUCAAGUAGAUCUAGGUUACAACUGAGUGAAGAACAAAAGAAAAAACGUAGGCGUGAGCAAAAAAAACUAAGUAUGCGCAGAGCUAGAUCAAAGUUAGAUUCUGUUGCUCUUGAAGAAAGACGCAAAAAGGACCGAGAAAGGUAUCAUCGUAAAAAAGAAGAGGGGCUGAUUAAGACCAUUAAAGACUUGAAACCCCGAGACCAGCGACAAUUACGGAAAAUGUGGCGAGAGAAAGCAAAACUUAGACGUGAGAAAGAGAAAAUAAAAAGAACGACUGAGCAAAUGUUACACGAAAAUACACCCCCUUCAAGUCCACAACCAUCAUCUUCACCACAACAAUCAUCUUUUUCACGAAUUCGGUCAGGAAAAGCAGUAGGUGCACGGAAUAAACGAAGAUUGAAGGCUAAAAAUGAAUAUUUAAUAAAUAGAUUAAUUGUUUUAGAACGAAAGCUAGCUAAAUACAGAAUGCGUCUACACAGAAUUAAAAAAGGACAGAAACGAGGUAACACUGUACUAGUCAAACGAAAAAUACAUGACUUUUUUAUUGACGAUGAGCAUAGCAGACUCACAGCAGGCAAAAAAGAGACUAUCACACGACGUAAAGUAAAAAAGCAAAUACGUCUGUUGAAUGACACAAUUCUCAAUCUACACAAGAUAUUUAACAAUAAGACGGGUUUAAACAUAUCAUAUGAGACAUUUCGUAGACAUCGUCCUUUUUGGGUGAUAUUUCCUAAAACAACUUCUAGAAAUACCUGUUUGUGUCGUCAACAUGCCAAUAACGAUUACAUUGCUAGUGCUCUACAUCAAGCUAAGAUAAUAUCAUUUUCUAACGCCACUGAUGUUGCCAGGUCGCUUUGCUGUGAUAACAUUCUGAGGGUUUCUUGUCUUGAACGAACAUGUACCCUAUGUUUUGAAAAAACUUUGGACUAUACGGUCAUCAAUGGGAAUGACACGAUUCUUUACCAAAGAUGGGUCACUAAGAAAGUGCCCCAAAUAAUUAAAGGCAAUGAAAAAUUAUGUCAAAAAACACUCAAAGAAUGCGUCAGAACUUCUCAUCAAUUACUUGUUAAUAAAUUUAAUAUAAGUUUGUCGACAUUUAUGCAACAUCUUGCAAAUAUAAUGAACCAAUACAAGGCUAUUCGAUAUAUUAAACAAAACUUAUCGCCAUCACAAAGUUUACUGCAUAUUGAUUUUUCAGAAAAUUAUUCCUGCAAAUAUGGAUCAGAAGUUCAGUCAGUCCACUUUGGUGGAUCCAAAUCACAACUCUCGUUACACACUUGCGUUUAUUAUUCUGUUGAUUCUCAGCCACCAACAAACCUUAUAAAAACAACAUCCAUUUGCACUGUCUCGGAGAACUUACGACACGAUCCUGUACUCAUUUGCGCCCACUUGAAGCCCGUAAUUGAAAAAAUUAAAUUGAUUACACCAGAUUUGACAGAGCUGCAUAUAUUAAGUGAUGGACCCGCUACUCAAUAUCGUAAUAAAACAAUGUUCCAUAUGUUAGCAAACUAUGUGAGCAAAAUUUCAAAUGUAGAAACUAUUGUGUGGCAUUUCAGUGAGGCUGGACAUGGCAAAAGUGCUCCUGAUAGCGUAGGUGGCUGUGUAAAACGCACAUGUGACAAGGCUGUUGCAAAUGGCCAAGACAUAUCAGGUAUUGACAGUUUUGUUGAUUGCGUAAAAGUCACCUGUAAAGGCAUUGACAUUAUUCGUAUUAAUAAUGAUGUAUCUGAUAUACAAAAAAUUGCCGAUGCUAACAAAGUACGCCCCUUCAAAGGGACCUUAAAAAUUCACCAGAUCACAUGGAGCUCAAAAUCUCCUAACAUUAUUCACUGCAGGCGACUAAGUUGCUUAUUGUGUGCACCUCACAUUAGGUGUACACAUUUUAAAAUUGGGCAAAUUCAGAUUGAAUAUAUUUCACGAGAUACAAAAGAAUCUUCGCCUACGAUAUCAUCAUCUAUUUUAUCAAGGACGGGUACCCCCAGACCAGUAUCUUCUAUUGAUACUGCAUCAGCGUCAACCGUCACUGGACCAAGAACACCAUCUCCGCUCGAAUCGUUUUUAAACACACCGUCUCCUGAAUUAACAACGAGAAUAGUCCGUCAACCGCUAACCCCACGGAAGCAAAAUAUAGUAUAUACUGACUCAGAUGACUCAGCAACCCCCAAAAAAUCCAGAUUCCAUACAUUCUUUGAUACCAGCGACACGGAGGACUCAAUUCCAUCCCCAAAAAAAGUUAAGUGUCAGUCGCUUUUUGAUUAUAGCGAUGAAGAAAAAUUUUAAAGUGUUUUUUAUUUUAAUAUUAAUAAAGUACUGUUUAUACAUAAGUAUAUUUUUUCAAUUUUGAUUCUUUUCUGUACGAGUCUGUCCCUUCUGUGGUCAAGAAAAAAAUUAAAAACCCUCUAUUUCAGCAAAACCUGAAAAACGAUCUCGUUUUAUAUUAUAAUUUAGAUACUAUGAUUAAUAACUAGUAAAUGAAACUGAUUUUGUAAAAAUACGAACGAUGUUUUUUUUUCCAAAAAUUUUACCUUGUUUUGUGUAUGACCCAUAUUCGAUAAAGACUGCAACUUUUUACGUGGACAGGCGUUUCACCUUCGGUGCUCAAGAAACUACGUGGGAGCAUUUCGGCCUUUGUCACAAUUAAAUUAUAUUUUGAUUAAAAGUUAACAAUGUGGUGUUAAAAAAAACUGACUUGAAGCUCUGGUGGACUUACCAAACUUUGAAGACAAAUAGGUAACUGUAGCUAAAACUAUUCCUAAACAUUAUACCUACUGUAGCAGAAAAAAUUGCGAAACCAAUGUAAUUCGAUUGAUUUCAUAAGUUUUGUACACUGAAGGUUUCUCUAGGGAUACAGAACAGGAAAAACGGGCCAUGCCUGAAAUCACCGACACUUGGAAAUAUAAAUUUAUUCAUUAUUGGCCUUUUUUGUUAUACUGUUUUGUUUUUUUUCUAUCUUUCUUCUAAAUGUACUUUUAUUCAAAAAGUAAUUAUAGUAAACUAUAAUGUGAUUGCUUAGAUAUUUAAAUCUUUAAAACAAUCAGUGGUAUGCAAUUAAUUUAGAUAGUGGUUUAAUUAUAAUUAUUUUCAUCAUCAUUUCAGAAUCAGACGUAGAUAAUAAUAUGCUACAUUUCUUUUCAUUGCUUUUGAAGAUAUUUUAGACGUGAUCACCGGUGCGAAAGCCAGGGCCAUUUUGACUAAGUAUUGUGUUGUCAUCGGUCCUCAAUAAGUAUACCAAAUUUCAAGUUAAUCCGACGUUUUGAAGAGGGUCAAAAUCAUGUUCAAAGAUUCCGUUAACAUACAUACGUCUGAAGCUAAUAAAAGCGUAUUAAAAAACCUCAUGUCGGUUAUAAACUUACACUUCAUCAAGCGGCAGAUUUAACGUUAAACUCCCUCGGACGUUUUCACCGAAUUGCAAAUAUCCAGUGAAGCCGACGAAGCCAUAGAGCACGACGACCGCACUCAUGGCGAUGUUCAAGACCCCUGGACAGCCGAGGAACUGCUGAGGCUUCAACAUUUCGUUCUCUAUCGGCAUCACUACGCCUAUGCCUUCCAUGGCGAACAGACUUGUACU